This 207-nucleotide unclassified non-coding RNA is filed under the name Hevea brasiliensis (rubber tree). The record is from RNAcentral. Lineage: Eukaryota; Viridiplantae; Streptophyta; Magnoliopsida; Malpighiales; Euphorbiaceae.
GCUAUAAAUGCAUGGACUCCUUGAAUCGUUUUUUAGAGGUAGAUGAGAAUGAAUGUUUGCUAGAGGGUUUCAUUUGCCAUCGUCAGACAGAAAAAGGGGAAAUAGAAAUAGGAGGACAGUUAUGUAAUUUUACAUAUAAGCAUCCCACUGUCCUCUGUGCACUCUUAUUUUCUCUCUAAUUUGGAAAGACAAUACACAAAGGAAAAU